Molecule: ribosomal RNA, 492 nt
Filed under: uncultured bacterium
Lineage: Bacteria
Description: partial 16S ribosomal RNA
Rfam family: Bacterial small subunit ribosomal RNA
Source: RNAcentral
AGUGAACGCUGGCGGUAGGCCUAACACAUGCGAGUCGAACGGCAGCACAGUAAGAGCUUGCUCUUACGGGUGGCGAGUGGCGGACGGGUGAGGAAUACAUCGGAAUCUACUUUUUCGUGGGGGAUAACGUAGGGAAACUUACGCUAAUACCGCAUACGACCUACGGGUGAAAGCAGGGGAUCUUCGGACCUUGCGCGAUUGAAUGAGCCGAUGUCGGAUUAGCUAGUUGGCGGGGUAAAGGCCCACCAAGGCGACGAUCCGUAGCUGGUCUGAGAGGAUGAUCAGCCCCACUGGAACUGAGACACGGUCCAGACUCCUACGGGAGGCAGCAGUGGGGUAUAUUGGACAAUGGGCGCAAGCCUGAUCCAGCCAUACCGCGUGGGUGAAGAAGGCCUUCGGGUUGUAAAGCCCUUUUGUUGGGAAAGAAAAGCAGCAGGUUAAUACCCCGCUGUUCUGACGGUACCCAAAGAAUAAGCACCGGCUAACUUCGUG